The submitters of this non-coding RNA (62 nucleotides) gave its source as unclassified sequences. The record is from Rfam.
CCUUUGGAGAGUUAUAUCAAACGAAAGUAGCUUAGGCAAAAUCGGACUUGUAGAAGAAGGAA